Molecule: small nuclear RNA, 106 nt
Organism: Cebus imitator (Panamanian white-faced capuchin)
Lineage: Eukaryota; Metazoa; Chordata; Mammalia; Primates; Cebidae
Source: Ensembl
GUGCUCACUUCCGCAGUAUAUAUACUAAAAUUGGAUGACAUGGAGAAGAAGAGCAUGCUCCCUGACAAAGUAUGACACACAAAUUCGUAAAGCAUUCCAUAUUUUA